Long non-coding RNA from Choloepus didactylus (southern two-toed sloth), 169 nucleotides. RefSeq lists it as uncharacterized. The transcript has 3 exons. Lineage: Eukaryota; Metazoa; Chordata; Mammalia; Pilosa; Megalonychidae. The record is from RefSeq and is a predicted model, not a curated record.
UCUCAAGUACAUGUUGAUGCAUCCAUAAAAGAAUGUAAAUUUUAUCAGGGCAGGUGUUAGAAAUUUCCGGGCACAGUCAUAGAGGGCACGGAGACCAGUCGACUUUCAGGAGUAACAGCUCAAGGUCAUAAAAGACAAAGACAGACUGAGGAAUUGUCACAGAUUGGAG